GACACGGCCCAGACUCUUUCGGGAGGCAGCAGUGAGGAAUAUUGGACAAUGGGCGCAAGCCUGAUCCAGCUAUGUUGCGUGAGUGAUGACAGUUCCAUAUAAACAUGCCAAGGCACGUUGAAUUGUAAAACUCUUUUAUCAAUGUUCAUAGUGAUAUAAUUGAUGAAUAAGCUCCGGCCAACUCCGUGCCAGCAGCCGCGGUAAUACGGGGGGAGCAAGCGUUGCUCAGUUUAACUGGGCGUAAAGUGCACUAAGGCUGUUUUAUAAGUUAAUAAUUAAACCUUGAAGCUCAACUUCAUACAAUUAUUAAUACUGUUUAACUAGAAUAUAAUGGGGGUGAACAGAAUUCCAAGUGUAGAGGUUAAAUUCGUUGAUAUUUGGAGGACUACCGAAGGCGAAGGCAGUUCACUAUGUUAUUAUUGACGCUUAUUGUGCGAAAGCGUGGGUAGCAAACAGGAUUAGAUACCCUGGUAGUCCACGCUGUAAACGAUGAGUGCUAGCAGUUAAAGCUAAGAUUAUAUAUAUAACAUUAUAUAAUCCUAUAUGCUAAGAUUGCACAGCUAACGCGUUAAGCACUCCGCCAGGGUAGUACGGUCGCAAGAUUGAAACCCAAAGGAAUUGACGGAGGCCCGUCCAAGCGGUGGAGCAUGUGGUUUAAUUCGAAACUACACGAAGAAUCUUACCAGCCCUUGACAUUUUAGGCUAAGAACAUUUAAUUAAAGUUAACUAUCGUUCCGAAAAGGACAGGCCUUUAACAGGUGCUGCAUGGCUGUCGUCAGCUUGUGUCGUGAGAUGUAUGGUUAAGUCCCAUAACGAGCGCAACCCUUAUCCCUAGUUGCUUAAAAUAUAAAUCAGCUCUCUAGGGGGACUGCUAAUUCAAAGUUAGAGGAAGGAGAGGAUAACGUCAAGUCAUCAUGGCCCUUAUGGGCUGGGCCACACACGUGCUACAAUGGCAACCACAGAGAGUCGCAAUGCCGCGAGGCUGAGCAAAUCUUUUAAAAGUUGUCUAAGUUCAGAUUGCACCUCUGUAAUUCGAGUGCAUGAAGUUGGAAUCGCUAGUAAUCGCGGAUCAGCAUGCCGCGGUGAAUACGUUCUCGGGCCUAGU
This 1105-nucleotide ribosomal RNA is filed under the name Candidatus Hodgkinia cicadicola. RNAcentral describes it as "bacterial SSU rRNA". It matches the Rfam family "Bacterial small subunit ribosomal RNA", at positions 323 to 1384 of the family's 1533-position model. The record is from RNAcentral. Lineage: Bacteria; Pseudomonadati; Pseudomonadota; Alphaproteobacteria; Hyphomicrobiales.